This 63-nucleotide transfer RNA is filed under the name Bemisia tabaci. Its description in RNAcentral is "tRNA-Pro". Lineage: Eukaryota; Metazoa; Arthropoda; Insecta; Hemiptera; Aleyrodidae. The record is from RNAcentral.
CAGUAAAUAAUUUAAAAAUAAAAUACUAAUCUUGGAAAUUAGAAAUAAUAAUAUUUUUACUGA